GAUCGGAAGAAUGGCUUCUCUAGGCGAGGUUUUGCUGCCCACUUGAGUCCCUCUCCUGAGUGCCCGGGAACUUGGUGACUCUAAAUGGGUUGCCAUGACCUGUGCAGGAUCACUGCGAUUGCUCUGGGCCAUGGAGAAGGUCACCAGGGAGCCCGAGCAUGUGCCCAGGUGCUUUGGCAGGCUUGAGCUAAAGGGAGGAAGCAAAGCACACUGCUCCAGGAAGAGAGAGAAAGAUGAGGAAGAAGAGGAGGAAAAAGAAAGGGCGGUGGGGGAAGAGGAGGCACUGUCUGGUGCAUGGCGGAGGCCUUGGAACCAUGGCCUUUGGAGAUGGUGUUCACUCUUGCUUCUGGUUUCUCUCCCUCUGGAACCUCUACCCUGCUAUCACCCAGGAAGGGAAGUCAGAAUCUUCCCCCAAUCCAAUGUCAAGUCCUCUGAUGGCUCCACAGGAGUGCCGGGCCUCUUGGCCUCCAGAACCCUGGCUCCUCCCACCUAGGCACUUCUUGUUUAGUUCCACUGAUGAUGUGGGCCUGCUCGCACAUGUCCAGACUGUUGGGGAGGCUGGGCUGGCCUGACCUGCAGGAUCCAGGGCAGGAUAGGAGCCUUUCUUUACACCCAACUGCUGAUCACAGAGUGUCUGGUGCCCAGAUGUUUCAGAAGGUUGGGGUAAGGAAACCCAAGUUUGUCACUGGGCAGGAUUAGGAACAGAGGGUGCAGGGAGACAAGCCUGAAGCAGGAGAGGAGCUGCGUGCAGAGGCUGUGCUGCUGUGAUCCCUGGCUUCUGAGGUGCGCUGUGGACAGGCAAGUGAUGAGGCCCUCACUGUGCUCCGCUCCUGAGCACUCUCGCUUUCACCCUGCCUUCCACCUUCCAGGUUCCAGUCUCCAGAGCUCAGCGUGUACAUUGACCUCUCUGAAAGUCCCCUUGAGCCCACUCUGUGGCUUCUUCCUUGCACUCCCGUGCUGCUCCUGUGCCCGCUGAACACUUCUCAUCCCGCACCUUGACCCUGUCACCGUUCCCGUGUCUGCAUGGCUCCCUUAGUGUCCUUGGAUGCAGGGACCUGGAUGCAAGUGUCCUGGCCUGGCACCGGUGGGUGGACUAGGUAUGUCCCCAGGUGAGCUGUGCAGGAAGGAUGCCUCACCACAGCCUUCUGAGCAGGCCGCAGUUGGUGUGGGGACCGCAGUGCCACUGGUGUCCUGCAGCCCCGGCUGUUCUCCAUUUGAACCAAAGCCAGUGACGUGAUGUGGAAAGUGAACUUCUGGUUUCAAACUACACAGUGGGAGUUUAACUUUAAAAGAUUGGUUAUAUUAAAAGACACACUGCCGUCAAGCCCCUCCAGACUCUCCCCUACUCGGAACACACUCAUCCCAUCGUGCUUGCCACCUCUGGAGGCCGUUCUACAGUCCUACCUCUGUCAUGAGCGCCUUUCCGAGGUGUGAUUGAAAACACAGUGAAUGCUGCCACAGAGCCCAGCAUCCAGUGGGAAGGCAGCCUGGUGAAACAUUGCAGUGUGUGCUCAUUUACCCUGUCCACCGGAUGUGACACCUUGCGACUCCCAGCUCCUCCCCAGAGCUGCAAUGAGCAGGAAAUGGAAACGUUUUGAAUGGAUUCGAGAAGAAGAGGCAGCCAUGACUGCCAGCUGAAGACUCUCACAGAAGAGGGCUUCAGAAAGGGGCAAGGAUGACGAAGAAGCUUUUUGGGCUGGGGGGUAGCAUCCUGAGGGGGUCAAUGGCAUUGUGCCUUUUACUGGGAUAACUCAAAACAAUUUAAACAUUUGCCAUAUUUUUCAGUUAUACCUUGUACAAAUAGCUUUGUAUUUCAGAACAAAAGUUAGUUUUAGGUUGGGAACUGAACCGAGGCCCUUCCUCAGCAAGGAACUUGCUCCUUGCUCUGCAAUGCCUGUAUCGUUUCUCUUCCGGCUGCUGAGCAAGCCAAAGGUAAAGGGUAGUGAGUGAACACAGCCCUGGCCAGCAGGCAUCUUGGAUUUCCCCUCCGUUCCCUGACUAAUUAGACCUUCUGCAAUCCAGCCCCACCAAGUGUGCAGUGACAGUGUCCAGCCAACUUGAAUAAAUCUUUCAAUUCCAAUGUUUAGAAAAAACAGGCUCUAUUCUGUUAGCCUGGCUUCUAGGAGAAUUCUGUCUUUCCAGUAAAUGUCAGGAAAAGACACAAAGAAAGCCUUAGCGCAUAGAAAACACACAUGUAACCCCACCCCCACCGAACACAGCUCUUCCAGCCGCAGUGCUCCCAGCCAGCCUAGUCAUGCAUUUGCCUCUCUCCAAGAGUCUUACUACAUUUUGUCUCCACCAUCAUCAAGAAGGCACUUUCUUUUAGCACCUGAGUAUAUGGUGAUUUAAUGUAAGUGAGGACUGUCUGUGCCUCCUCCCUUCUUUUGAGAAAAGUCAGUGUCACGAUGAAUCAAGGCCUGGACUCUGGG
Molecule: long non-coding RNA, 2429 nt
Organism: Fukomys damarensis (Damara mole-rat)
Lineage: Eukaryota; Metazoa; Chordata; Mammalia; Rodentia; Bathyergidae
Source: Ensembl